GAGUUUAUGAACGCCAGCCGCGGCCGGCGAUAUACGGCCUCGUCUUUUACCCCAUUUUAUACACCUGCAUUUUUCUUUGAUGUCUAUGUCAAUGUAAUACAGGCGAUAUUAUAGACAUCCCCAAUUAUUGUACGCUGCUCUGCAUAUACCUGCGCUUAUUUCCACCUACAUUACCAGUAAAUGGCAAACUCACCGCAACUGCUUGCUUCGCUUCCCUACAAUAUCCAUGGGUUUCUGCUGUUUAUGGAUUUGGGUUUUGGCUGCCUGUUGGAGCAUAUUCUUCCAAGGCCAAAAUACAUAUGAUUUAAACGCAGGUGCUUCUGUGAUUGCCAGCAUUUCAAUCAAUGGAGAGACUGCCAUAGCUGAGACGGACACCCAUUUUAUAUGUGCCACUUUAGACUGGUGGCCGCCGGAUAAAUGCGAUUAUGGGACGUGCAGUUGGGGAAAUGCUUCUUUGCUUAAUUUGGAUCUCAAAAGUUCACUGUUGGAAAAUGCUGUGAAGGCUUUUGAUCCAUUGAAAAUAAGAUUGGGUGGAUCAUUGCAAGACAAAGUCAUCUACGAUGUUGGACAUUUGAAGCAACCAUGCUCUCCUUUUACCAAAAAUGUUUCCCUGAUGUUUGGAUUUACGGAUGGGUGCCUUCCCAUGUCAAGGUGGGAUGCCCUGAACUUGUUCUUCAGGAAAACAGGGGCUGUGGUAGCAUUUGGAUUGAAUGCUUUGAAUGGAAGGAAAGAAGUAUCAAAGGGUGUUUCGGAAGGGCCUUGGGAUUCAACCAAUGCUUAUGAUUUUAUUCAGUAUACAGUUGAUCAUGAUUAUCAGAUAAAUGCAUGGGAACUAGGAAAUGAACUGAGUGGAAAGGGUUAUGGAACAAGCAUUAAUGCUACGCAGUAUGCAGCUGAUGUAAUUAACCUCAAAGGGAUACUGAAAAAGAUUUACAAGGAUUUUCAAGUGAAACCCCAACUUGUUGCACCUGAUGGAAACUUCGAUGCAAAUUGGUAUAAGGAAUUUCUUCAACAAUCAGGACCGGACAUUGUAGGUGUUGUUACACAUCACAUCUACAGUCUGGGUCCAGGUGUGGAUCAACAUCUUGUGGAGAAGAUAUUGGAUCCAUCUUAUCUUAACCAAGUAGAAUCUACAUUCAAAAGCCUCGAAAACAUCUUGGAAACUUACGGACCUUGGUCAAGUGCUUGGGUUGGUGAAGCUGGUGGAGCUUAUAACAGUGGGCACAAUCUCGUUACUAAUGCUUUUGUCUCUAGUUUUUGGUAUUUAGAUCAGCUUGGCAUGGCAUCCACAUACAAUACAAAGUCUUAUUGCAGGCAAAGCUUGAUUGGUGGUAAUUAUGGCCUUUUAAACACAACCACUUAUGUGCCAAAUCCUGAUUAUUACAGUGCACUUCUUUGGAACCGACUAAUGGGAGCACAAGUUCUGUCCCUAACAUCAAACGGAACAAAAUUCCUGCGGCCUUAUGCACAUUGUACUAAGAAUGCUACAGGUAUUACCUUACUCUUGAUAAAUCUUAGCAAAUUGGAUGACAUUAUGGUUCAAGUAUCAGCUUAUUCUCAAAUUAGAGGGCAGAAGAAUCUUACUGCAAGGACUGAUCCGGUAAGCAAGACAUCUAGACUAGAGUAUCAUUUAACCCCAAAAGAUGGGGAUUUACACAGUCAAACUAUGCUUCUCAAUGGAAAAGCUUUGGAUGUAAGUCCCAAGGGAGAGAUACCAUCUUUAGAACCAAUAGAGGUGAAUCCCCAGAUGCCUAUUUCAAUAGCUCCUCUCUCAAUUGCAUUUAUAUCUCUUCCUUAUGUUCAAUUCCCAGCAUGUAGAUGGUGACAACCAGGGAACAUAAGUUAUCUUCACAAAGAAAUGCUAUUGAAAAGAGGCUUACAGAUGGAUGGGCAUUUGGAACCGACAAAACAGUGUCAGAUGACCGACCAGAAGAGUAAGUCUCCAUUGGCAGCGCAGAAAUCCAUUUGUCCAGAUUCAAUGUCGACAAUAGCACUUCCUUUUGAUGUUCAUGUCAGUGUAAAACCUGCAGAUAAAUCUGAAAAUCGGUCGCCCCCAUUACCAUAUAUUUCUCUUUAUAUACCUACUUUAAGUUCCACCUACUUCACCAGUACAUGGCACACUUAUUAUCGCUACUUACUUCGUUUCCCAAUUAUAUCCAUGGCUUUCUGUUGUUUAUGGAUUUGGGUUUUCGCUGCCUGUUGGAAUGUAUUCUUCCACUGCCAAAAUACCCAUGGUUUUAAUGCAACUGCUCCUGUGUUUGCCACCGUUUCAAUCAAUGGAGACAAUGUCAUAGCUGAGACGGCUGAUGAUUUUAUAUGCGCCACCUUAGACUGGUGGCCCCCGGAAAAAUGCGAUUAUGGGACUUGCAGUUGGGGAAACGCAUCUUUGCUUAAUUUGGAUCUUGGAAGUUCACUGCUGGGAAAUGCUGUGAAGGCUUUUGAUCCAAUGAAAAUAAGAUUGGGUGGAACGUUGCAAGACAAAGUCAUAUAUGAUGUUGGAAAUUUGAAGCAACCUUGUCAUCCUUUUGCCAAAGAUGUUUCUCUAAUGUUUGGAUUUACAGAUGGAUGCCUUCCCAUGUCAAGAUGGGAUGCACUGAAUAUGUUUUUCAAGAAAACAGGGGCUACAGUGGCAUUUGGAUUGAAUGCUUUGAAUGGAAGGAAAGAAGUGUCAAAGGGUGUUUUGGGAGGACCUUGGGAUUCAACCAAUGCUUAUGAUUUCAUUCAGUAUACAGUUGAUCAUGGUUAUCGAAUAAAUGCAUGGGAACUAGGAAAUGAGUUGAGUGGAAGUGGUGUUGGAACAAGAAUUAGUGCUAAGCAGUAUGCAGCUGAUGUAAUUAAACUUAAUGGGAUACUGACAAAGAUUUACAAGGAUUUUCAAGUGAGACCCCAACUUGUUGCACCUGAUGGAUUUUUUGAUGCAAAUUGGUUCAAGGAAUUUCUUCACGAAUCAGGACAAAACAUUGUAGGUGUUGUUACACAUCAUAUUUACAAUCUGGGGCCAGGUGUUGAUCAGCAUCUUGUGGAUAAGAUAUUGGAUCCAUCUUAUCUUAGCCGAGAAGAGAUUACAUUCAAAAACCUCAAAACAAUCGUGGAGAAAUAUGGACCUUGGUCAAGUGCUUGGGUUGGUGAAGCUGGUGGAGCUUAUAACAGUGGACACAAUCUGGUCACCAAUGCUUUUGUCUUUAGUUUUUGGUAUUUAGAUCAGCUUGGCAUGGCAUCCACAUACAAUACAAAAUCUUAUUGCAGGCAAAGCUUGAUUGGUGGUAAUUAUGGCCUUUUAAACACAACUACUUAUGUGCCAAACCCUGAUUAUUACAGUGCACUUCUUUGGCACCGACUAAUGGGACCACGUGUUCUGUCUGUAAGCUUAACUGGAACACAAUACCUGCGGCCUUAUGCACAUUGUACUAAGAAUGCUACAGGAGUCACCUUACUCUUGAUCAAUCUUAGCAAAUCAGAUGGCAUCACUGUUGCAGUGUCUACUUAUUCUCAAAAUGGAGGGCAGAAGAAUCUUACUGCAAGGACUGAUCUGGUAAAUGGGACAUCUAGACUAGAGUAUCACUUAACAGCAAAAGAUGGGGAUUUACACAGUCAAACUAUGCUUCUCAAUGGAAAAGCUUUGGAUGUAACUCCCAAGGGAGAGAUACCAGCUUUAGAACCAAUAGAGGUGAAUCCCCAGAUGCCUAUUUCAAUAGCUCCUCUCUCUAUUGCAUUUGUAUCUCUUCCUUAUGUUCAAGUCCUAGCAUGUAGCAGAUAGCAGGUGAGGAUUGUGUAGAUCCAAAACAAUAUUCAAAGUUGGCAUUCUUUUUGAAGCACCAAUAUUAUUUGAAUUGAAAUGCCAUUCCGUGGAUUUAUUAUUUUGGAACAUCAAUGAGAUAAAUAAGUUUUCAGUACACCUAGUCGGUGCCUUGUUACGGAUAUGUUAUGUUCAACAGAAAAUACUAUUGAGAAGAGGCUUUACAUUUGGAUGGGCAUUAUGAAGGAAUCCACAAAGUUGGAUUCGUAAUAAUUUUGAUUGUUUUUUCAUUUCCAAUAUUCAUUUUAACAUGACAAAAAGUUCGCAUU
Cryptomeria japonica (Japanese cedar) is the source of this 4065-nucleotide RNA transcript. RefSeq lists it as uncharacterized. Lineage: Eukaryota; Viridiplantae; Streptophyta; Pinopsida; Cupressales; Cupressaceae. The record is from RefSeq and is a predicted model, not a curated record. The transcript is spliced from 19 exons.